CGAACGGGUGAGUAAUGCGUGACCAACCUGCCCCAUGCUCCAGAAUAGCUCUUGGAAACGGGUGGUAAUGCUGGAUGCUCCAACUUGACGCAUGUCUUGUUGGGAAAGUGUUUAGUGGCAUGGGAUGGGGUCGCGUCCUAUCAGCUUGUAGGCGGGGUAAUGGCCCACCUAGGCUUCGACGGGUAGCCGGCCUGAGAGGGCGGACGGCCACAUUGGGACUGAGGUACGGCCCAGACUCCUACGGGAGGCAGCAGUA
RNAcentral lists this ribosomal RNA (256 nucleotides) under uncultured Gardnerella sp. RNAcentral describes it as "partial 16S ribosomal RNA". It matches the Rfam family "Bacterial small subunit ribosomal RNA", at positions 99 to 355 of the family's 1533-position model. Lineage: Bacteria; Bacillati; Actinomycetota; Actinomycetes; Bifidobacteriales; Bifidobacteriaceae. The record is from RNAcentral.